This 301-nucleotide ribosomal RNA is filed under the name uncultured bacterium. Its description in RNAcentral is "partial 16S ribosomal RNA". It matches the Rfam family "Bacterial small subunit ribosomal RNA", at positions 509 to 807 of the family's 1533-position model. The record is from RNAcentral.
CAGUCGCCGCGGGAAUACGAAGGGUGCAAGCGUUAAUCGGAAUUACUGGGCGUAAAGGGUGCGUAGGCGGUUGUUUAAGUCUGUUGUGAAAUCCCCGGGCUCAACCUGGGAAUGGCAAUGGAAACUGGACGGCUAGAGUGUGUCAGAGGAUGGUGGAAUUCCCGGUGUAGCGGUGAAAUGCGUAGAGAUCUGGAGGAAUACCGGUGGCGAAGGCGGCCCCCUGGACAAAGACUGACGCUCAGGUGCGAAAGCGUGGGGAGCAAACAGGAUUAGAUACCCGCGUAGUCCCUGUCUCUUAUAC